Molecule: ribosomal RNA, 253 nt
Filed under: uncultured bacterium
Lineage: Bacteria
Description: partial 16S ribosomal RNA
Rfam family: Bacterial small subunit ribosomal RNA
Source: RNAcentral
UACGUAGGGUGCGAGCGUUAAUCGGAAUUACUGGGCGUAAAGCGUGCGCAGGCGGUAAGUUAAGUCUGAUGUGAAAUCCCCGGGCUCAACCUGGGAAUUGCGAUGAAGACUGCAAGGCUUGAAUCUGGCAGAGGGGGGUAGAAUUCCACGUGUAGCAGUGAAAUGCGUAGAGAUGUGGAGGAACACCGGUGGCGAAGGCGGCAUCCUGGACCGGUAUUGACGCUGAGGCGCGAAAGCUAGGGGAGCAAACGGG